GCCAGCGUGGCGCAAUUGGCAGCGCAAUUGAUUUGUAAUCAAUAGGUUAUCGGUUCGAGUCCGAUCGCUGGCUCCA
This 76-nucleotide transfer RNA is filed under the name Actinomycetes bacterium. Its description in RNAcentral is "tRNA-Thr". It matches the Rfam family "tRNA". From Rfam's summary of the family: Transfer RNA (tRNA) molecules are approximately 80 nucleotides in length. Their secondary structure includes four short double-helical elements and three loops (D, anti-codon, and T loops). The record is from RNAcentral. Lineage: Bacteria; Bacillati; Actinomycetota; Actinomycetes.